GAUGAACGCUAGCGAUAGGCCUAACACAUGCAAGUCGAGGGGCAGCACAUGAGUAGCAAUACGAUGGUGGCGACCGGCGCACGGGUGAGUAACACGUAUGCAACCUACCUCUAACAGGGGGAUAACCCGUUGAAAGACGGACUAAUACCCCAUAAUACAGGGGCUCCGCAUGGAGAUAUUUGUUAAAGAUUUUAUCGGUUAGAGAUGGGCAUGCGUUCCAUUAGCUAGUUGGUGAGGUAACGGCUCACCAAGGCGACGAUGGAUAGGGGAACUGAGAGGUUUAUCCCCCACACUGGAACUGAGACACGGUCCAGACUCCUACGGGAGGCAGCAGUGAGGAAUAUUGGUCAAUGGAGGCAACUCUGAACCAGCCAAGUCGCGUGAAGGAUGAAGGUCUUAUGGAUUGUAAACUUCUUUUGCAGGGGAAUAAAUAGCGGUACGUGUACCGUUUGCAUGUACCCUGACGAAUAAGGAUCGGCUAACUCCGUGCCAGCAGCCG
This 499-nucleotide ribosomal RNA is filed under the name uncultured bacterium. RNAcentral's name for it is "bacterial SSU rRNA". It matches the Rfam family "Bacterial small subunit ribosomal RNA", at positions 28 to 517 of the family's 1533-position model. The record is from RNAcentral.